GUGAGGAAUAUUGCGCAAUGGAGGCAACUCUGACGCAGCCAUGCCGCGUGCAGGAAGAAGGCGCUACGCGUUGUAAACUGCUUUUAACCGGGAAGAAACCCCAGGACGUGUCCUGGGUUGACGGUACCGGAGGAAUAAGCACCGGCUAACUUCGUGCCAGCAGCCGCGGUAAUACGAAGGGUGCAAGCGUUAUCCGGAUUCAUUGGGUUUAAAGGGUGCGUAGGCGGGGCGUUAAGUCAGUGGUGAAAUACUGCAGCGCAACUGUAGACUUGCCAUGGAUACUGGCGCUCUUGAGUGCGCUGGAAGUAGGCGGAAUGUGCCGUGUAGCGGUGAAAUGCUUAGAGAUGGCACAGAACUCCGAUUGCGAAGGCAGCUUACUGGGAUGCAACUGACACUGAUGCACGAAAGCGUGGGUAUCAAACAGGAUUAGAUACCCUAGUAGUCC
This 445-nucleotide ribosomal RNA is filed under the name uncultured bacterium. RNAcentral's name for it is "partial 16S ribosomal RNA". It matches the Rfam family "Bacterial small subunit ribosomal RNA", at positions 354 to 796 of the family's 1533-position model. The record is from RNAcentral.